RNAcentral lists this ribosomal RNA (253 nucleotides) under uncultured bacterium. RNAcentral describes it as "partial 16S ribosomal RNA". It matches the Rfam family "Bacterial small subunit ribosomal RNA", at positions 524 to 776 of the family's 1533-position model. The record is from RNAcentral.
UACGAAGGGUGCAAGCGUUACUCGGAAUUACUGGGCGUAAAGCGUGCGUAGGUGGUGAGUUAAGUCUGUCGUGAAAGCCCCGGGCUCAACCUGGGAAUGGCGAUGGAUACUGGCUCGCUAGAGUGCGGUAGAGGAGAGUGGAAUUCCCGGUGUAGUAGUGAAAUGCGUAGAGAUCGGGAGGAACAUCAGUUGCGAAGGCGACUUCCUGGCCUGUUCUUGACGCUGAGGCGCGAAAGCUAGGGGAGCAAACGGG